This 484-nucleotide ribosomal RNA is filed under the name uncultured bacterium. RNAcentral describes it as "partial 16S ribosomal RNA". It matches the Rfam family "Bacterial small subunit ribosomal RNA", at positions 30 to 507 of the family's 1533-position model. The record is from RNAcentral.
AUUGAACGCUGGCGGCAGGCCUAACACAUGCAAGUCGAGCGGAUGAAGGGAGCUUGCUCCUGGAUUCAGCGGCGGACGGGUGAGUAAUGCCUAGGAAUCUGCCUGGUAGUGGGGGAUAACGUCCGGAAACGGGCGCUAAUACAGCAUACGUCCUGAGGGAGAAAGUGGGGGAUCUUCGGACCUCACGCUAUCAGAUGAGCCUAGGUCGGAUUAGCUAGUUGGUGGGGUAAAGGCCUACCAAGGCGACGAUCCGUAACUGGUCUGAGAGGAUGAUCAGUCACACUGGAACUGAGACACGGUCCAGACUCCUACGGGAGGCAGCAGUAGGGAAUAUUGGACAAUGGGCGAAAGCCUGAUCCAGCCAUGCCGCGUGUGUGAAGAAGGUCUUCGGAUUGUAAAGCACUGUAAGUUGGGAAGAAGAGCAGUGAGUUAAUACCUUGCUGUUUUGACGUUACCAACAGAAUAAGCACCGGCUAACUUCGUG